UGCUGGAGUUGUUACUGCAGUGGACGGUGUGCACUUUGUCACGGAGAAAAUUGUUUCUCAUGAUGGCGUCAUCCCGGAGUGGGGCGUUAGAUCAAGCAUUAUGUCGUCUGGUCAACUAGUGACAUAACAGUCGGGUGGUUAUAGUCGCAUAUGAUGGAGAUUUUUUUUUUUAAAGCGAGGUUUGUCCGUUUUGGUUGAGAUUUUUUUAAAUGCUGAAGUGGAAGGAGGAAAGACGUAAUAGGGGAGUGACGGGUUCGGUGAUUAUUUAAUUGGCGAAGGAAAAAUGAGUUUUUAGGAGGAUGAGAAUAGGCUUCUGGGAAAAUGACAUUGUAAAGUCAAUCAGCCGUAGAAACACCCCAAUAAUUGUCAACUCCUCCCAUCGUCCCACGGUAAAAACAAAGGCUAUUGGACUCGGCUGAAUUCGCCCGAUGAACCGAAACAAGUUCGUGUAGAAUCGGCGCCUAGAUGUGAUGACAAGGGGAUGUGGUGCAAGGGGGAUGAGACAACCGGCGACACAAACGGAACACGGAAAAAUGUGUAUUCGAAUGGACAACCCCUCUUUCCCGCCGCUUCUCCCCCCAACCCCCCACCAUAGGAGGAGAAUGUUCAAGAGACUGUAGUUACGCAUGCGCUGAGUUACGCGGGCAAACAUAAUCGUUCGUUAUGCGUGCGUCAGCGUAAACACUCGGGCCAAUGUAGUUGUACUUCUCUGGAUGAAUAAUUUAUAAUUAGAAUGAAAAAUUAAUUAUCGAGAUUGUCAAACAUCUUUUCAGUCCAUCAAGAAGAAAGUAAUUAUGUUAAGGAAUUAUUGAGAAUUUUUCGACUUUCUGAGUAAUCUUUUGCAAAUAUUCACUAAAAUUGGCGAACAAUGUUGAAAAAUAAUUGCGCGGGUAUCAACAUUCGCGAGUUAUUGAAUAAUGACGAAAGUAGAAAUUAUAUUUUUUCAUGUCGAUCUAGUCUAUGAUUUGCCAGAAAUUUAUAUAUAUUUAAAUAUACAUAUAUAUGUAUAUUUAUAUUGGCAAUAACUCCUUGAGUUGAUAAUAAAGAACAGAAGUGAUUUUUUUAUUUGAAAAUGGAA
Molecule: long non-coding RNA, 1078 nt
Organism: Diachasmimorpha longicaudata
Lineage: Eukaryota; Metazoa; Arthropoda; Insecta; Hymenoptera; Braconidae
Exons: 2
Source: RefSeq, a predicted model, not a curated record